This 253-nucleotide ribosomal RNA is filed under the name uncultured bacterium. RNAcentral describes it as "partial 16S ribosomal RNA". It matches the Rfam family "Bacterial small subunit ribosomal RNA", at positions 524 to 776 of the family's 1533-position model. The record is from RNAcentral.
UACAGAGGGGGCAAGCGUUGUUCGGAAUUACUGGGCGUAAAGGGCUCGUAGGCGGCCAACUAAGUCAGACGUGAAAUCCCCAGGCUCAACCUGGGAACUGCGUCUGAUACUGGAUGGCUUGAAUCCGGGAGAGGGAUGCAGAAUUCCAGGUGUAGCGGUGAAAUGCGUAGAUAUCGAGAGGAACACCAGUGGCGAAGGCGAGUCUCUGGACGACUCCUGACACUGAGGCACGAAAGCUGGGGGAGCAAACAGG